Molecule: ribosomal RNA, 465 nt
Filed under: uncultured bacterium
Lineage: Bacteria
Description: partial 16S ribosomal RNA
Rfam family: Bacterial small subunit ribosomal RNA
Source: RNAcentral
GACGAACGCUGGCGGCGUGCUUAACACAUGCAAGUCGAACGGAAAGGCCCUGCUUGCAGGGUACUCGAGUGGCGAACGGGUGAGUAACACGUGGGUGAUCUGCCCUGCACUUCGGGAUAAGCCUGGGAAGCUGGGUCUAAUACCGGAUAGGAGCCAUUUUUAGUGUGAUGGUUGGAAAGUUUUUUCGGUGUAGGAUGAGCUCGCGGCCUAUCAGCUUGUUGGUGGGGUAAUGGCCUACCAAGGCGGCGACGGGUAGCCGGCCUGAGAGGGUGGACGGCCACAGUGGGACUGAGAUACGGCCCAGACUCCUACGGGAGGCAGCAGUGGGGAAUAUUGCACAAUGGGCGCAAGCCUGAUGCAGCGACGCCGCGUGGGGGAUGACGGCCUUCGGGUUGUAAACUCCUUUCGCUAGGGACGAAGCUUUUUGUGACGGUACCUAGAUAAGAAGCACCGGCUAACUACGUG